This 504-nucleotide ribosomal RNA is filed under the name uncultured bacterium. RNAcentral describes it as "partial 16S ribosomal RNA". It matches the Rfam family "Bacterial small subunit ribosomal RNA", at positions 355 to 871 of the family's 1533-position model. The record is from RNAcentral.
UGGGGAAUAUUGCACAAUGGGCGAAAGCCUGAUGCAGCGACGCCGCGUGCGGGAUGAAGGCCUUCGGGUUGUAAACCGCUUUUAAUUGGGAGCAAGCGAGAGUGAGUGUACCUUUUGAAUAAGCACCGGCUAACUACGUGCCAGCAGCCGCGGUAAUACGUAGGGUGCAAGCGUUAUCCGGAAUUAUUGGGCGUAAAGAGCUCGUAGGCGGUUUGUCACGCCUGGUGUGAAAGUCCAUCGCUUAACGGUGGAUCUGCGCCGGGUACGGGCAGGCUAGAGUGCAGUAGGGGAGAUUGGAAUUCCCGGUGUAACGGUGGAAUGUGUAGAUAUCGGGAAGAACACCAAUGGCGAAGGCAGAUCUCUGGGCUGUUACUGACGCUGAGGAGCGAAAGCAUGGGGAGCGAACAGGAUUAGAUACCCGUGGUAGUCCAUGCCGUAAACGAUGGAUGCUGGAUGUGGGACCCUUCCACGGUUCGUGUCGGAGCUAACGCGUUAAGCAUCCCG